RNAcentral lists this non-coding RNA (45 nucleotides) under Schistosoma mansoni. Lineage: Eukaryota; Metazoa; Platyhelminthes; Trematoda; Strigeidida; Schistosomatidae. The record is from RNAcentral.
AUCCAGCUGACGAGUUCCAAAUAGGAAGGAACGCACAUCCUGGAU